CCGAGCGCGUCUUCGCAGUGAGAGACCGGUCCCGCGCAGGGAGAGACCGGUUCCCGAACGUUGGUUUUUCGGGUUCGGCACGAGAGACCGGUCCCUGCUGGGGAGAGACCGGUCCCCCUGGGUGAAAAUUGCCCAGACCGGGCUGAUGCAAAUUUGAGUUUUUGAGGGGCCUCUCUGGAUUUUGUUGCUCUAAAUGGUCUAUAUGGCCAUUUCACUAUCUUCCCUCCUCAUUUCUCACCCUCUCCCUACACUUUCUAGAGAGAGAAGAAGAAGAAGGAGGAGAAGAAGAAGAGGAGCUUGCUUGAGGGAGCUUGGAGCUCAACCCCUUUUCUCUCCUUUCCACUCUUGCAAGGCUUGGAGCUUGCUUGUAGGGCUUGCUGGUGGACCAAUCUUCAACCCUAGAAGAUUUGGAGCUUGUUUUGAGGCAUCUAGAAAGGUUAGUACUUGAUUCUAUCCUUUGAUCCUUGUUUUGGUAGAUUUUACCAUAUGGAACCCUAAAAUGGGAUUUUAGGGUUAACUUUGGGCAUUUUGAAUCUAAGGCUUUUGAAGCUAGAUUGAUUGGAUUAGAACCUUCCUUGAGCUUGGAUUGGAAGGGUUCUAGCUCUCUUUUGGAGCUUUGGAAGAGAUUUCUUCUCUUGAGGUAAGUUUUAGCCCUUUUGCCUUGUUUGUUAACGUUUGACCUAAUGAUUGAUCGUAAUGCCCUUGUAUCUCUUCGCUCAAUACUUUUAGGGUAUUUUGAGACUCGUGGACAACUUCUUUCGGCGAAACGAAGGACACCGCGACGAUUCGGUGGGUUUCACUUAGCCACACAAUGAGAAAACCUCAUUGUUGAUGAUUUAAGCGUUGUAAAAUGAAAAAGCAUGCAUAUUCUCAUUAUAUGUAUUUAUUGUGAAUUUUAGAAUGCUUAAAAUGCCUAUAUUACAUAUAGUGCAAUUUUGGACUCCUAUAUAGUAGAGAGUUGCAUAUGAAGCUUAUGUUUGAUUGCUUAGCAUUCUUAUGUUGGGCCAUAUUCCUUUUAAUGAAAAUGAGUUCGAUUCAUGCAUUUUAAACCUAAGUUUAAUUGAGACAUGAAAGGUAAUAAAAUUGCCAUGUAGGGGCACCGGACUAGAACAUUAUGUGUUACAGCUAAUGUCAUCAAGCGGCAUUGAGCUCGGGACAUGUGUGAACCUUGUGAAUAGUAGGCAUUGAGGAACGAUUGGGACAUGCUUAAAUAUUGAAUGUCUAAGUGUAUAAAGCGGCACUAGACUGAGAAAUUAGAAUCUUUCUUUGUGACAUAGAACUAGAUUUCGAGAUGCUGGUGAAGUAUACCAUUGUUAGAGAUAUGAGGAUUGGAUACUGAGGAUUGGAUACACUUGCUUGAAUUUGUGCUAUUCACAUGCUAUGUGGGAGGUGCGAUCCUAGCAGCCGACACUAGAGUUAGCAGCGUGAACUUAUUUCGCUGUGCCGGUAUGAGAACUACGGGGUUGAUGGGACAAGACAUUCCAGAGUAGGGAUGUGGCUACACAGGCACUGUAGCGGGACAAGCUAGGAGUACCUUUGGUAGGUCUAAUUGGAAUAGAAAUCGACACAUGUUGAGAAUGAAUAAUCACUAUAGAUAGGUUAGUGUAUAAUAUUGACAUGAUCACGAAUUGCGUUGGUUAUAUAUGAAAUAUAUUGCUGUUCAUUCAUUGCAUUAUAGUAUAAUGGGUUACUUUGAUAGGUUUCCAUUAUGCAUGAAUAUUGCAUCGUGAGUUUAUUUGUUUUUAUGUAAGGCAUAUUAGUAUGAUUGGAUUAUUAUGAUGAUAGUAGAUGUACAUCACCACGAAUCAGUUUACUUGGGAAUAGUAAGUAUGAGAUUUAUUUAUGCUUUCGUUUCAAGUAGUUCAUACUCGCUCUUUAUUGUUUAUUAUUUUGUCCGUUACUUACCGCUUAUUUUGGGAUCGUUAGUGAUUGCAUUAGAAGCUAAGACGGUCAGUAAUUGACCACUGGAUACUUAUUAUGUUUCAGCUUAUGUUUUGAUUGUUUUUCAGAGCCUUCCAUCGCACGGGAGAGGCUUAGGACCGCGUGAAGGGAGUUGCUUCGAAGCUAGUCUUUCUUCCGAGGACGAUUUUGAUAGGAUGUCUAUCUUCUUCUGUUAUUUUAUUUUGUGAGGAGGUUGAGAGUUUGUACCCGUAUGUGAUAGAGAGCACCUUCUUUUGGAUUUAUGUAUUUCUUUUUUGAGGGUUUGCGAUUGUGAUCAUCUUGUGUUUACUUCUUUGAUUAGUAUAUUUCUGGGGUUGUCUGUGUUUGAGAUGAAUAAGAUUUACUUGCUCUGAUAUCUCGGGAGUCAUGGUUAUUCUCGGCUUUCCGCUGUUGUUAUAUAGACGCUAUAUAUGUUGCAGAAAUUUAUGGCAGGUCUGGGACGCUACGGGAGGGGGGGGGCGGUGGCAUCCGGGUCCGUGGGCAUCGUGACAGGUCCCUCAGAUAGUGUUGCCGGACAGCUGCGACGGCAAACUGGUCCCUGGCGGCUAGAGACGGUCGCAUGCGCGUCUACGCCUGGAGAGACGGUUCCCGAAGUGAUUUUUUUGGGCUAUGCUAAGAUCGGUCAUAUCGGACGAGACGGUCCUCGUGUUCGAAACUGCCAGACGGGCAGUUGACAGUGUUUGUGUAUUGAGGGGUAAUCAGCGGAUUUGUACAUUUAGAAGUUUUAGAGCAUUGUUCUUUCUUUUCUUCAUUUUACUUCCUUCACAACAUUUUAGAGAUGAGAAGAGAUAGGAGAAAAAAAGAGGAAGAAGAAUUGAAGGAGAAGGAGCUUAAUGGUGGUUUGGUAUCAUUCCUUCUCAUUCCUCGCUUUGGUGGAUUAAGUUGCGGAUUGGAGCUUUGUGGAGGAUCAUACUUCAACCUCUUGUUUAGAGUCUUGUUUGGAGUUCUUUGAGUUAUGUAGCUUGUAUUUCCAUUUAAAUAAGUUUUCUUAAUUUUAUUAGAUGAACAAAAUUGUGGAAUUAGGGUUUAUUUGAAAUUUUGAAUUGAGGCUUAAACCUAAAUUGAUGGGCGGUUGACUAAGAUAUGCCCAUUGCUAGCGGCCUAGUGGACAAACCAAUACAAAAUUUACACCCGUUUAAACCUUUAUUUAGUUGAUUUGCAAGAACUCUAUACUCAUUGGAGUUGAGAUGGGAUUUCUUCAUUCAGUGUGAGUUUCUCCCUUAGUUGAGAUGGUUAAUGAUCGAUCAUUGGUGUUGUAAGAUUUCGUUUAAACUCUUUUUCUCACUUUAGUAUACUUAGGAUGUUAGUGGUGGAUACCUUCGUCGGGAUUAGAAAGGUUCGUUAGUUCGGUGGUUUUUAUUCAUGAAAUCGUUUGGGCGAAAUGGCAUAGAGUAUUCUAUCCUUGUCGUAACCGGUCAAUUUGUUGAUAUUCUGUUAAAUGGGAAUUUUAUGUAAUUUUAAAACAUUAAAUGAUGCUUAUGUGUAUCAUGAAAAUUUCAUAAUAUAUAGUGGGCAUUCUGAGGCAUUUUGCAUGAAUUAUGGCAAGUGUGUGUGUUGCCUAGGAAUGCGAAAACAUGUCUUUCAUGUUAGAAUUUUGCUCAAAUUAGAAUUUGUUAAACAAUGAAAUCAUGUCUGGACUUAGUGGAUAAAAUACAUAAAGAGCAUUGACUAGUAACUGUGAAAUUGCCUAAUAUAGAGGACUAUUGAUAGGCUAUUGAACAUCUGUAUAUUCCUAUGUUAGGCUUGAUAAAACAUAGAGAUUAGGCCUUAUGGGAAUUAGUAUCUUCAUGUUUUUAGACAUGAGGAGUUGGUACUUGAGAAAUCUUUCUUGGUUGCUUUUGUGCUCAUGCACAUGUUUUUGAGGGGCGUCCAUAAAGCUGGCACUCCGGAGAUAGCAUCGACAUAUUCUCGCGAAUCGUUUGUGAGGAAUUGGGGCGCCGAAAUGUGAUGCCUGUGGGAGGUCGUUCUAGAGUAGGUAUGUAGACUACAGGUGCGAUUGGAUCGGCGCAGGGGAUACCAGGCGUAGGUCCUAACAGGAUUGGAUUAUUGAUAAUUUGCAUACGAUGGACAUAGACUAGAAUAGUGUAGUAUCUUGAAGUUUGCAAAAUUUAUAGAGUGAAAAGUGGAGGUGAAGGAAUGACAUGUAUAAGAGUCUAAUAUUUUAUAAUGGUGUUGUAGUGUUUAAUUUUGAUAGUUAAUAUUUUUGAUUGUAGAAAGUGCGUUUGAAGGCGAUCUCUAACUUUUGUAUAUUAGUAUACAAACUGCAAUAUAAUUGGAAAGUUCGUCGCCGGUGCGGAAAUGGAAAUUUGAAACUUCCAUGUUUUAAAGAUUAAGUGUUUACAAAUACGUUUGUGAGUGUGUCGAAAGAUAGACGUGGAAAGUGGCAUUGCUAUUGCGAAAUCUGCCAAUUUUUGUAUUGGCGUACGGUACAAAGCUAAAGCUGUACGGUACAGCAACAGCAAGCGCAGCUCAGGAGUGAAUGGGUGUUUUGGGUCUUUGCACCUCUUAUUAUCCUUACCUCCCAGCUCGAACCCAUGGACUCUUAGAUGGUGUUCGAGUGAUCAGAGGGGCUUUCCACCUCUUCACCUUCUCCUCUAGGUGUUUUUCCCACUCUUACGGAUAACGUUCGUUCAAUGUUCGAUUUCGACGCCAGUGGUCGUCGUUGUGUUUGAAGUAAGACUUUGGGAGGCAGCUUUAAAAGUAAAUGGUAGUGUAUUUGACAGUAUAAUUUCGUGUCUAAGUGCGUGGGAAUCCUGAAGAUAGUUUUUAGAGAGUAUUUCUUGAUUUCUUUAAUUAUAGUUAGCGUCGUGAUUUUUGACCAUUUGUUUCGUUGCUUCUUGGCAUCAACACUGUGUGUAACAGGGAUUCAGCAGUAGAUGACGAUUUUCAGGCUGUGAUUGAUCCCUUAGCCAGGGCAUGAUUAAUUUGAAGUUGUUAAUGGUAGUUGUAAUAUGAGUAGUUUGGAACUAUACGAAUUACUUGUGGUAUUGAUGCAGUUUGGGAAUUGUAUCUUCGAAGCAGUUUGCCGAACCAGUGGGUUAUGAUUUGCGAUGACCUGGUGAGGAUGGAUUAGACGUCUUAUCACUUUGAGGUGAUAAGCAAGAAUUUUAGUAGGAAGCUGGAAAUUGCAAGAUACGACUUAGAGUACCGUAUACAAAGCAGUGUUUUCUAAUGCCGUUUUGACAUUGUUCGGCAGCAGCGAGUGUGUUAGGCUCUUGAAGUGAUUUUGACUGAUUGUGGAAGAGUUGGAAGACUUGACUUGAGGGUAUUAAACUAGCGAAGCAGGGGAUUAGUUAUUGCUUGUAUUAUAGCAUUGAAAGCGAAAUUGGUAAGAUUCUAAUGUAAUGUUCCGACUGCGGUUUGAUGUUUAUUUUAGCAGAUCUAGCGGAUGUUUGAGCUGAAUUUGGAGCAUCUUUGGGCUGUUUUGAGUUAGUGAUAGGUGGCGUCGGACUAACAGAGAAGUGAAUUCCUCUAUUGUUCUAUAUGAUGCUAGUGAUGAUGAUUUCAGAAUUGGAGCUUAUGGUGUACUGUUUGUUACAUGAUUAUUACCGUUAAGCUUGCCUUUAAUUAUUCAUAUUCAUGAAUUAAUGUUUUCGUUUCAUUUAAUACCCGAUGGCCUAGUGGUGUAAUUUCGCGAGGCUGGCAGGCGUUAUCCCAUGGGAACUAUUGUUUAUAGUUCUCACCUCUUUUUGUGUUGUUUUUUACAGAAUCAUCAGGAGAGGCUAGGGACCGUUGGCAAGGGAGUCGGUCUAGCUAGACAUUUGCUAGGGAGGUGAGUCGUAACCUUGUUACGGGUUACAGCGAGUGGUGAUGUCAGUUUAAGAGGACUACUUGUACAGGCUUUUUGUAUACCCUGUGUUGUAUAUAUUUUGGAUCCAGUGAUGUGAAGUUUUAGACUUUCUUUUAUACUCUAUUUUGGUUGGACACUCUUGUUCUUUUGUUGUAGUCUUGGUGAUUAUUUACUUGCUCUGAUAUCAGGAUAGUUAUGUUAUGAUUUUACUCUAAUCGAUUAGUUUUAUUGUAGAGCUUUAUACUACAGGUGAUAUGAUUAUGGCGGUGUCUGUGCACGUACCGGAUAUGCUUCCGUAGGUUAACCGGGGCGUGACAAAUAGAUAAUAAGAUUUAUUUUUUACUAUUUAGUUGUUGGACAACUUAUCUUGUAAGUUAUACCGAAAAAUUCGGAAAAUAAAUAUCGAAUUAGUCAAAUUGACCAUAAGUGCGAGUGACGUAUACAUCGGAAAGUCGAAGGUGUUAAAUGUAUCAAAAGUGAGUUACGGGAGGUUUAUGAGAGUAAGAAUCAUUCUGCGAACUGAAAGCUUUUGAGCUCCGGGACGGUCCCUGGUGGGAGAGACGAGUUCCUCGAACGUAUGAAUGAGAACUAGCCAAAAUCGGCUAAGUCUGAGGAGUAGACUUCGAGAACGGUCAUGUCCGAUAGACGGUCCCGAGAGACGGUUCCACAAGGAAUGAGGACGUUUUGGCACUGCGCGCAGAGCUCUGGCAUGCGCUGGGACAACGUUCAGGGAAGGUCCUGUGCGGGACCGGUCUCUGCCUGCGCGGAAUAGCCCAGUUCGGGCGAGUGUAUUAAAGUGAAGUUUGAUGGUUUAGCAUGCAAUUUUUGCAACAAUAGGUUAAGUAUCGAGGGCAUAUAGAGAUAUUUCUCUCAUUUUCUCACCUUGCAAACACUUCUAUUCUUCCCUCUUCCUCUAGAAACAAAGAAGGAGAGAAAAGAAGGUAAGAAAGAAGGAGAAGAAGGAAAAGAACAGGUGAAGAAGAGAAGAUCAAGAAGCAAAAAGGCUUCUUCUUUUCUACUUUAGUAAGAAAGGAGCAGCUUUGAGGUAGGCUUUUUGCUCUUUUCAUUUAACUCCCAAACUAGGGUUUUUGGAAAACCUAGGAAUGGGUUUUUAUGGAGCUUUUGGGUAUUGGAGCUAUUUCUUUGCUUCGUAGAGAGAGAUCAAACGUAGUUUUUGCUAUAUGGUGAGCUUGGACACUCUUAAUUGGUGAAAUGAAAACUAGGUGAUUUGAAGGCUAAGAAUGGUUCUAAUGGACUAUUAAUAGGUUGUAAUGAAGUUACUUUUGCUUUCUUCUUUGAGAUCAAACCUAGUUUGAUACAUGUGUUGGAUGUAGGGCACUCAAUAUUGGGGUUUUUGCUUGAGGGGUUUCUAAGUGAAAUGGACCUCUAGAAACAUAUAUUGGGGGUAUUCCGACGCGUUGGGUGCGGUAUUCGAAUUAACGUUACGAAAAGUCCCAAAGUAAAGUGUUAUGGGACCAAAUGGCCUGAUUAAGGUUCGUUAUGCCCCCCCCCACAGGUAAAGUAAUCAUAAGAGAUCUAGAAAUCCUAAGAAAUCACGGAAGCACCUUUUUGGAAGCUACGAGUUGUGGUGGUGCUUUUCAAAAUCAUUGAAAUUCUUUAAUGCUUAAGGUAUUCUAUUGGGAUAUGUUCUAUUAUGAUUGUUGCUAAUGCCUUUUUUGGUUAAAGUAAUGAAUGAAUGUGAUGAUUGAGAUUGUGAGCAUAAUAUUGCAUAUAUGAGAUGUUAGAGACAUUAUAUAUAUGUCAAUCCUUAAUGAUUAUGAAUGAGAGAAAAUGUUGUAGUAACCAAAUUGUAGCAAUAAGUACAGAGUGCCACCAUGACAUAGAUCGUGCAUUUGAAAAUGUAGUAAAAGAAGACAUAAGACGUAUAAGUGUAGGUAUUAAAGAUACAUGUAAUUGUAAAGAAUGCUAAAAAUGAUAAUGCUUAAAGUUAACCAAUGUGGAAGUAAAAGAAGUUUGAAAUUGUAGAGGUUAGCAAAAGUAAAGAAUGAUAAAAUUAUAUUGCUUAGGUUUAGCAAGUAAAAGGACAAUGUAAAGAAUUUGAUUGCGAUGAGUGUGCACAUAAAGUGAUUGUAAAGAACACUAGAGGUAGUGUAAAGUCAAGAUUUGAAUUUAUAAUGUUUGAGUUAAGAGAUAUGGAUUCAAUAAGUUGCUAUGAGUUCGGUGCUCGGCGGUGCUCCCCUCGGGCGAUUUGCGUCUCGGGGUUAUGCAUCGAGUUGGAGUAGACCGUUAAGGACGGUCUAGCAUGGGUGAGUCGCGAUGAUGGACUUUAUGUGAAGCAAGUUAAGUGUGUAGCCGACCAAGGUAGCCUUUAUGAUUAAAGAAAAAGAACAAAGAGCAAAGAAUAAAAGGAACGAAGCACAAAGUAAAGUCAAUGAAUUGAAAGAAUUUGAUAAUCGCCAUUUAUUUAAUGUUGAGCAUACUUUCUUGCUUAUUGUUCAAGGUAUUCAGAUCAUGUUAUAGAUUGGCUUUAUGUACGUAGCUUAUUCUUUAUACUUAUGGCCUGAGUUAUGAACUAGUGGAAAGGUCGGUGAUGUGAGGUCCGAACCAUGCGAGAACUUUGUAUGGUUCUACCACCACUAUUUAGACCGGGGGGCGGGGCGCGAGCCGGCGAGCGACCGAGGUAAAGGUAUCGCGCCUUAGUCAGAGGCCACCACAGUUGUGUUCAUUUUGUAGUAAAGUGCCCUAUGUUCAUCUUUUGUAUAUGAUGAUUAGUGAUGUAAAGAAAAGAAUGUAAUGUGCAUUUUGAGGUAAAUGUGAUGUAAGAAAGAAAUGAUGUAAUGAAUGUAAGAAUUCGAUAAAUUACUAGAUGAAUGCAAUGUAUAUGAUCUAAAAUGAAUCAUAUUACUUGUGAAUGUUUAGUUUCCUUUUUCUUUCACUUAUGGCUGUUGCUUACCCUCGUGUAAGCCGUUUGUGUAUGUUUCCGCUAGUGCUUUUCUCUAUUGAUGAAAAUGUGCAUGUGAUGAGCCUUGGGCGGAUAGGGGAAACUCUGUCCGUUCGGCGUCUGUUUGAGGUGCUCGGGUCAGGCCAAAUUGGCAUUGGUCUCGGGGCGUGACAAUACUAGUGAUACUUUGGUACAUUCAUGUUAGAAUAGUCUUUUAUUACUUAUGUAAAUUCAUGCUAAGUAGAGAUAUCAUGUUGUAAUAAGUUUACAUGUUUACUUACAUAUCGAUUCUAUUUCUUUUAUUGUUACUUACCUGUUUAGCUCUUUUGGGCCUAGUGGUGCUUUCAUUUAAGUCAGUAAUUGCCCACUGGGAACUAUUAUUUAAUAGUUCUCACGCCCUUAUUUCUAUGUUUCCUUUUCAGAGCCCUCUGCACCGGCGGAGGCACGGGAUCGCGGCAAGGGGAUCGCUAGCUAGAUAGCAAUGAUUUACUGUUGCCUAGGUGGUUUUCUCUCUUUUUGUUGUUGUUGAGAGAAAGAGAGAGGUUUUGUAUCCAUGUAUAAAGACCACCUAUGUAUUUACUUAUAGCACUUGUUUCGGGAUUCUUCUUGUACUACUUUAUGCUUUCAUCUAGUGGAUUUUAGUUUAUGGUUCUUUUUCUCUAUGGUAGCAUCUAGAUAUACUUGCUCUAAUACUCCUACAUGUUCUCUUUUUGCUACUUCAUUUAUUGUUUUGUUUUUAGACGCCUUAUAUGCUUUAGACAUAUGGCGGGUCUGGACACGAGCCGGGCGGGCCUCCGCUGGGUCCCGGGGCGUGACAAAUUAGUUUGGUAUCAGAGCCUAGGGUUGAGUCUUAGUGGACCUAGCAAACCUUAGGCCGGUUGGACUGUAGGAAAUAGGCUCGUGAGAGACGAGGUCUAUUUGACUUGUAAGCGAAAGUAUCGUGAUUGGGUAUCUUGAUAACUCUAAAAAGUUGGAGUUGAUCGAAGUGUAUGGCUUCUAAAUUCGCGGAGGGUUACGUUAGCAGCCGACAACGUAACAUUGGGAGUUACACUACAACAGAAUUAGGUUAUAGGAACACAUGUUUGGGACACUUUUAAGUAAGUGUCCCAUUUAUCCUAAAACUUAAAAAAAAUAUCUACUAAUGUCUAAAUAUAAAGCCCAAUCCAACCAAAAAUAAAAGAUUACUCUACUCAACCCACCACACCUAGUCCAUUUGGCCCGAUUACAAACAGAAAAGAAAAAAAAAAAAAAUCAAUUACCAUCUUUUUUUCUCUCUUCACUCCAUCCACUGAAAUUCUAGACGAAGAGCCUUUCCUGUCGUCAUUCUCCGCCACCGCAGCCAACGAGAUAGAGUUUUGGCGGUUGCUAAAUGCUUAAAUAAGUGUUGGUAAAUUAGCAGCACUCUUUUAGGUUAUAGCGACACUCUUUAACUGUCCUAGCGACCCCACAUAUAGCAACACUUUUUAAAAGUGUCGGUAAUUUUAGCUAGCAGCACUUUUUUGACAUGUACCUAUAUUUAAAAGUGUCGCUAUAGACCGUUUUUGUUGUAGUGUUAGUAGUGAAGCACACUUCAUUUCUUUCACAUGAUUUGGGGUAUUAUCUGCUUGAGCGGGCGUACGAUAGCGUGGGUUACUAACUUACGCUUUUAUGAUAUUGUAGUGUGAUGCCGAUCACUCGCUCCCAAUCUGCCAGAGUGGAUAAUGCGGCAAACUUGGAGGAGGUCGAGACCUCUGCUACCUCCGGAUCUGGCGAGGUCCAGGAGUUGAGGAGCUAGCUUGCGGCCCUCACCGACCUAGUAACUCAGCAGACGGAGGCGGCCUGAUAGCAGACUGAGGCGGCGCGCCGACAGGAGGCACGGAUGAAGCGCCUGGAGGACCUUCUUGUACAGCAGGCGGCAGCUUCCAGGGAGACCCAGGCCCCUACACCACCAGCACCAAUUAUGGACGUCACGCCGAGAGCGCCGUCCCUCGCGCCCAGUUCGUCGCGUGCGGCGCCCGUGGCCACGCCUCAGGAGGAGGCUUUGGCGGCGCCACCUGCUCAGGCGCCCCCGAUUGGAGCUGUUUUCCCUGUGUUGGUCUAGGGAGCGGAGCGAGACCUACUGAUGGAGCGCCUCAACGAGUUUAGGAGGUGUAGCCCCCGGAUCUUCGACGGCGAAAAGGUCGACCGCAGGAUCGUGGAGAAGUGGUUGAUGCAUAUGGAGAAGCUCUUCCGCGACACCUUCGUGGAGGAGAGAGAUCGAGUUUGGCUCGCCACACACCAUUUGGACGGCGAGUCCUACCGCUGGUGGUUGGAUCUUCAGGAGAACCCCAGCACUGAUUUGGCGGCCAUUACUUGGAAGAAGUUCAAGGAGCUUCUGUUGGCGCACUACUUCCCGACCAGCAUCAAGAGAAAAAUGGAGCAGGACUUGCGCAACUUGCGCCAAGGAGACCGAACUGUAGCCGAGUACGACCGGGAGUUUUUUCGGCUUCUACACUGCAUGCCUUUCGUCGUGCGGGACGACGAGGACAAGGCCCGCAUUUUCGAGCGAGGGUUGCGACCGUCAAUUUUUCGGUUCGUGUAAUUCUCUAACCUCCAAACCUACCGGGAGGUGGUGGAUCUCGCGCUCAUCGUGGAGAGCGGUGCGGCAGACGUCCAGGAGCGGCGAGAGGCUAUGGACAAGGGUAAGGACAAGAGGCCUACGGCUGAGGGUGCGAGCCAGACGCACUCUAGGAGGCCGCCGAAGCAUCCUAGGAGCCAGCAGCAUGGGCGUGGCUCGGCGACUCAGCGUGGAGGUUCUGACCAAUGCCGACCUCCCCAGUGCGUGAUCUGUGGUGGUCCCCACAUUCCACCGCAGUGCCCACAGCGGGGAGGGAGGUGUUUCUAGUGUGGCCAGGAGGGCCACUUCCGGACCGAGUGCCCGAGGGGUUCGUCACCGGCACCGUCAUCUGCAUCGGCACCGGCUCUACCAACCGCCAGCCACGAGACUCCAUCAGCGCAGUACCAGCCUGGGCGGCCACCCGUCAAGCGCCAGAGCCAGGGUUCUCGUCAGGCCCCGAGUGGGCGUAUGUAUGCCACUCAGACCGAGGAGACGGCAGCAGCCGAGGAUGUGGUCGCAGGUAUCAUUUUACUUGAUGGCAUUAGAGUUCGUGCAUUCUUUGAUACCGGUGCAUCGCAUUCAUUCAUAAAUUGGCUGUUUGCCGAGUUACAUGGCAUCCCUAUGCUUUCUUUGUUGCAUCCGGGACGUGUAGUUGUCCCCGACCACUCUUUGGAUAUUAGAGAGUAUUGCCCAGUUGCCCUAUUCAAGUAGGAGAUUGGAUUAUGCCCGUGGACUUGCUAGCCUUGCGCAAGCUAGGGGAAUUUGAUGUGGUCUUAGGCAUGGAUUGGUUAACCAAGUAUUAUGCCACGAUCGAUUGCAAGAAUCGUACGGUUACUUUUAGAGAACCGGGACAAACUGAGGUUGUGUUUAGAGGAUGCCAGAGUUCGCUUUUUGCGAUGACGAUCAGCUCGUCUCGAGCUAGGCAGCUGAUCAGCAGAGGUUGCAUAGCCUAUUUGGCUAGUGUCGUGCUCAGGGGCGGGGACGGCAACCCUAGGAUUGAGGACAUCCCGGUGAUGCGGGAGUUUUGUGACGUGUUUCCAGCUGAGCUACCGUGUUUGCCACCCGAUAGGGAGAUCGAGUUUGUGGUAGAUCUCGUUCCUGGGACUACUCCAAUCUCGAAAGCACCCUAUAGGAUGGCACCGGCGGAGCUAAAGGAGCUGAGGGCACAGCUACAGGAUAUGUUGGAUAAGGGUUUUAUUCGACCGAGCGUUUCACCGUGGGGAGCGCCAAUUCUGUUCGUCAAGAAAAAGGACGGAUCACUUGGCCUAUGCGUGGACUAUCGUAAACUUAAUAAAGUCACGAUCAAGAAUAAGUAUCCAUUGCCGAGAAUCGACGACUUGUUUGAUCAGCUUCAAGGAUCAUGUGUGUAUUCCAAGAUAGACUUGCAGUCGAGAUACUAACAAUUAAAGAUCAAACCCGAGGAUAUAUCGAAGACGUCGUUUAGAAUACGGUAUAGACACUAUGAGUUCACAGUUAUGCCGUUCGGGCUUAUUAAUGCCCCGGCAGCUUUUAUGGAUCUAAUGAACUGUGUUUUUAAGCCUUAUCUAGACAGGUUCGUCGUAGUGUUCAUCGACGACAUUUUGGUUUAUUCCCGAAGUGAUGCAGAUCAUGAGAAACAUUUGAGAAUUGUGCUCCAAGUACUUCGGAAAAAGGAGCUUUAUGCCAAGCUGAAAAAGUGCGAAUUUUGACUUCGAGAGGUAGCUUUUCUUGGACAACUGUAGCUUUUCUUGGACAUCUGAUUUCAGGAUCGUGUAUAGCUGUGGAUCCUAAGAAGAUUGAAGCAAUCCAGGAUUGGCCGAGACCGACGAGCGUCACGGAGAUACGGAGCUUCCUUGGAUUGGUCGGGUACUACCGGAGAUUUGUUGAGGGAUUUGCCAAGCUGUCUACUCCCCUCACGUGGCUCACGCAUAAAGGAGUCAAGUUCAUUUGGAAUGAUGCAUGCGAGAGAAACAUCCAAGAGUUAAAGCAAAGAUUGACGACCGCCCCGAUCCUAACCCUGCCGAUGGCUGGAGCAGGGUAUGUGGUUUAUAGUGAUGCUUCACUUAAUGGAUUGGGUUGUGUGUUGAUGCAGGAUGGCAAAGUGAUCGCGUAUGCUUCGCGCCAACUAAAGGAAUAUGAAAAGAACUACCCGACGCAUGAUUUGGAGUUGGCGGCCGUAGUCUUCGCAUUGAAGUUAUGGCGCCACUACUUAUAUGGCGAGCGGUGUGAAGUGUACACGGAUCACAAGAGUUUGAAGCACUUGCUCACUCAGAAGGAGUUGAACUUGAGACGGCGCAGAUGGUUGGAGCUGCUCAAGUAUUACGACCUGACGAUUCUUUACCACCCGGGCAAGGCUAACGUGGUAGCGGAUCCGCUAAGUAGGAAAUCGACGGAAAACUUAGCGAUACAUGUUGUGGCUCAACCGCAGUUGAUCGAGCAGAUGAAGCGGUUGGAGUUGGAGGUGGUGACCCCUGACACGCCCUUGAGGUUGAUGGCUUUGGUGGUGCAACCUACACUUUUGGAUCGAAUUAAAGAAAAGCAAGCUUCCGAUGUGGAGUUGCGAAGGAUUAAAGGUAAAAUAAUUGAUGAUUGCACCGGCGACUUCCUUGUGUAUGAUCAAGGAUUGAUGCAUUUUCGUGGAUGGAUUUGUGUACCGGCGGAUUUGGGAAUUAAAGAGGACAUUCUUCAAGAAGCGCACCGAACGCUCUAUGCUAUACAUACAGGAGGCAUCAAGAUGUACAAGGACUUAAAGUUGCUCUAUUGGUGGCCUGGGAUGAAAAAGGAUGUUGGCGAGUUCGUAGCUCGUUGUCUAACUUACAGAACACCGAUUACCUGCAAAAAAACUUCAGAGUUUGCCUAUUCUCGUGUGGAAAUGGGAGAAGAUCACCAUGGAUUUCGUGACUGGAUUGCCCCGCUCUCAGGCCGGGUAUGAUGCUAUAUGGGUGAUCGUGGAUAGGUUGACGAAGUUGGCGCACUUCAUACCUAUUCAUACUACUUGGACUGGGGAGAAGGCCGCACAAGUGUACCUUGAUGAGAUUGUACGACUUCAUGGAGUGCCUACAUCGAUCGUAUCGGAUCGAGACACUCGGUUUGUGUCCCAUUUUUUAAGGAGUCUACAGGACGCCCUAGGCACUCGACUGGACUUUAGCACUGCUUUCCACCCUUAGAGUAAUGGGCAGUCGGAGCGCACCAUUCAGACUUUAGAGGAUAUGCUCCGAGCAUGUGUGAUAGACUACCAGGGAGGAUGGUUGCAGCAUCUAGCUUGGCAGAGUUUGCUUAUAAUAACAGUUAUCAAGCAAGUAUCAAGACGGCGCCCUUCGAAGCACUUUAUGGACGAAAGUGUAGAUCGCCACUUCAUUAGAGCGAAGUUGGCGAGAGAUUGGCUUUAGGCCCAGAUGUGCUCCAGGAAGUAGAGGAUAAGGUUCGAAUUGCUCGGGAGUGACUUUUGACGGCACAGAGUAGACAGAGGAGCUACGCCGACCGACGGCGGCGAGACUUGGAGUUCCAAGUUGGAGACCAUGUUUUCUUAAAGGUCUCGGCAACUAGAGGGAUCAAGAGAUUCAGGAUUUGGGGUAAGUUGAGCCCCCGUUUCAUUGGACCGUAUGAGAUUUUGGAGCGUGUAGGUCCGCUAGCGUAUCGACUUGCUCUACCACCGAACCUAUCGGGCGUGCACAACAUCUUUCAUGUAUCGGUCCUUCGGAAGUAUGUCUUCGACCCGACUCAUGUGUUGGAUGCUACACCUUUGGAGUUGCGGGACGACUUGAGCUUCGAGGAGCAACUAGUGAGGAUUUUGGCUCGCGAGGUGCGAAAAUUGUGGAACCAGGACAUUCCGUAUGUAAAGCUCGUUUGGAGCAACCACGGGGAGCGGGAGGCCACGUGGGAGCUGGAGAGCGCGCUGCAGGAGCGCUAUCCCCAUCUCUUUCAGAUGGAGUCUUGAGGUAUGUAUUUGCUUUCAAGUUUAGCGGACGAAACUCCUUUUUAGGAGAGGUGAAUGUAGCACACUGAAACUGUGCAAAUUGCGAGGUUCGAGAGUUUAAUAUGGAUUCUGAACUUUUCCACACUUGGUGGAAGGUCGUAGAUGGUAUUCCGACCUAAAAGUUCAAUUCCUGGAGUUUUGACUUUGUCCUGAGAGUUUUCACUCUCGGGGACCGGUCCCUGAUAGGAGAGACCGGUCCCCUCAGAACAGUGUUGCGGCAGCCUGCGAGGCAACCGGUCCCUGGCGGCUGAGACCGGUCCCCAAGCGCGUCUAUGCGGGGAGAGACCGGUCCCAUGCGGGGAGAGAUCAAUUCCCGAACGUUGGAUUUUCGGGGCAGGCUGAGAGACCGGUCCCAGGUCGGGGAGACCGGUCCCUCAGUCCGAAAACUGCCCAGACCGGGCAGUGCACAAUGUUGAUUGUUGAGGGGCUUAUCAGGAUUUUGUUACAUUAGAAGGCUUUUAGAGCCUUUCUCUUCUCUCUUUUUUUUAUUUUCUCCCCUUUACACCCACUCUAGAGAGAGAAAGAGAAGAAGAAGAAGAGGAAGAAAAAGGAGAAGGAGAGGAGCUUCUUGGUGGCUUUGGAGCAUCAUUCCCUUCCUCUCAUUCCUCACCUUUGGUGGCUUAGAGUUUACGGUUGGAGCUUUGUGGAGGAUCAAACUUCAACCCUACUUGGUUUAGAGCUUGGUUUGGAGCUUCUCUUGAGGUUCGUAGCUUGUAUUUUCCAUUUAAUACAAGUUUUUCUAGAAUUUAUUAGAUUAAACCCUAGAUUGUGGAAUUAGGGUUUAUUUUGGGGAUUUUUUAUUUGAGAGUUUUGAAACCUAAUUGAUGGGUUUAGAACCUUUAUUUAUGUUGGAUUUGAAGAACUCUAACUCCCAUUUGGAGCUUGAGAGAGGAAUUCUUCACUUGAGGUGAGUUUCUCCACCUUAGCUUGAGAUGAUUAAUGAUCGAUCACUUGGGUGUUCGUAAGGUUCGUUUAACUCUCUUUUCUAUAUCUUUAGGGUACUAGGAGAGUGGUGGACACCUUUGUCGGGGCUUACGAAGGGUUUCGGUAACUUCGGUGGGUUUGACUUCAUGAAAUCGGGGCGAAAUGGCCCCUAAGUUUUCUAUACUUGUCGUAACGUCAAUUUGAUUGCAUAUUCAUGUUAAAUGGGAUUUAUGUGAAUUUUAUACCACUUAAAAUGAAUGCCUUAUGUAUCAUAAAAAUUUCACUCCAUAUAGUAGGGCAUUCUGGGCAUUUUGCAUGCAUAUGGGUAGUGUUCGUGCUAGCGACUAGGAAACAUGUCUCUUAUGUUAGAAUUUGCUCAAAUUAUGCAUUUGUAAACAAUAAACUCAUGUUUGGACUUAAUGGACAAAAAUGCCAUAAAGAGGCACUUGACAUAGUAAACUGUGAAACUGCAACGUAGAGACUUAGUGAUAGGCCAUUGAACAUCUGCUAUAUUCCAUUUUAGAGGCAUGAUGACAUAGAGAUAGGCCUUUGGGACAUUCGACGUAUAUUCCAUGUUUUUAUACAUGAGGACUUGGUACUUGAGACAGAUCUUUCGCUUGCUUGCCAUUGUGCUCAUUCGCAUAUACUUGUGAGGGUCGCUCCCUACAAGCCGGCACUCCGGAAAUAGCCAUCGCGACAUAUGCUCGCUCGUGCGGGAUUGGGCGCCGAAAUAGGAUGCCGUGGGGGAGGCUCAUUCCUAGAGUGAGGAUGUUGACUACCACGGGGCCAUUAGGCACGGUGCAGGCUGGACUACCCACGAGUAGGUCCUACAGGAUUGGGUCAUAGAUGACUUAGUAUACCGACUGGACAUAGACUAGAAUAGUAAACAAGACAUUUUACUAUUUAGCUUGUGGACAUCAUGCUAGUGAUACUUUGGUACAUUCAUGUUAAAAUAGUCUUUUAUUACUUAUGCAAAUUCAUGCUAAGUAGAGAUAUCAUGUUGUAGUAAGUUUACAUGUUUACUUACAUAUCGAUUCUAUUGCUUUUAUUGUUACUUACCUAUUUAGCUCUUUUGGGCCUAGUGGUGCUUUUACUUAAGUCAGUAAUUGCCCACUGGGAACUAUUAUUUAAUAGUUCUCACGCCCCUGUUUCUAUGUUUUCUUUUCAGAGCCCUCUGCACCGGCGGAGGCACGGGAUCGCGGCAAGGGGAUCGCUAGCUAGAUAGCGAGGAUUUACUGUUGCCUAGGUGGUUUCCUCUCUUUUUGUUGUUGUUGUUGAGAGAGAGAGACAUGUUUUGUAUCCAUGUAUAGAGACCACCUAUGUAUUUACUUAUAGCACUUGUUUCGGGAUUCUUCUUGUACUACUUCAUGCUUUCAUCUAGUAAAUUUUAGUUUAUGAUUCUUUUUCUCUAUGGUAGCAUCUAGAUAUACUUGCUCUGAUACUCCUAGAUGUUCUCUUUUUACUGCUUCAUUUAUCGUUUUGUUUUUAGACGCCUUAUAUGUUUUAGACAUAUGGCGGGUCUGGACACGCGCCGGGCGGUCUUCCGCUGGGUCCCGGGGCGUGACAGCCACUCGAUCUACUUGUCAUAGUGUCAUAUUGUUCUUUGCCUCAUCUAGGUUUUGUUGUCACCAAUCAUGCAUACAUAGGGUUCAUAGGUUCUCAACCAUCUCAUAAUGCAUUUGUACUCACAACAUGCAACAAUUCACAUGAAUAUCAUCUCAAUCACCCUACAAUGAAUGCAACAAUACUUGUACAUAUGCUCAAAAAGUGACACAUUAGAUAUAAGAGGAAUUUCAAAGAGUUUGGAAAGCACCACCCACCUCGUAGGCUUACUUAGGUGCACGGGAGGUGAGGAAACUACGGAACCGUGAAAUUCCGUUUGUUAAAAAAAAUUGGAGUAACCACGACGAUCGGGAAAAUACUUGGAAGCUUGAGAACGUGAUGAGAGAGCGUCAUCUCAUCUCUUCGAAGAGCUGGAAUGCGGUAUGAAUUUAGAUUGUCGUUAAGUUAGUUUCGCGGACGAAACUAAUCUUAAGGGGUGGAGAAUGUAACAUAUUGAAAUCCGGAAGAAAUUAUCGGAUUUUAGCCAAAUUGACUAAAGUAUGCGAAAAAGAUGGAUGACAAGUGCAUUUAGCAUUCCAACAAUGUUGGAAGGGUUAAAAAUGAGUUUAAGAGAGAUUAGAAAGGUUUUAGUAUCGAUCGGCGCGAAAUAGAAUCGAAAUCGGAGCUACAACAACAUUCUGGAGCAAGUGUACCGGUACAACCAGCAAGUUGUAACCGGUACAGCAUCACAGGCCGAGAGGGAGAAGCUCUCGGGUUUGAGUUUUUUCGCAGAAAUGUUCCGGUACACCCCUGUUGUGUACCGGUACACUUUGGUAAAAUCCGAGAACCUUGCUCUCAGGUUGCCGUAACACACUGGACCUUUGCAAAUUGCGAGGUUCGAGUGAUUGGAUGUGUUUCGAGCUUCUCCACACUUGGUGGAGGGUCGUAGAAUGUUUUCCGACCUAAGAAGUUCGAAAACCUGAGUUCUGGACGAGUCCUAAGAGUUUUCACUCUCGGGGACCGGUCCCUGAAAGGAGAGACCGGUCCCCCAGUGAGCAGUGUUGCGGCAGCCCUGAAGCAACCGGUCCCUGGCGGGCGAGACCGGUCCCCGAGCGCACCUACGCAGUGAGAGACCGGUCCCGUGCAGGGAGAGUCAGACGCACUCACGGAGGCCGCCAAGGCACCCCAGGAGCCGGAGCCAGUCGCGAGGACGUGGCUCGUCUACUCAGCGAGGAGGACCCGAUCGUCGCCAGGCUCCCCGCUGCGUGAUCUGUGGUGGUCCCUACUACCCGCGACAGUGUUCACGCAGCCGGGGCAGGUGUUUCUUGUGUGGCCAGGAGGGCCACUUCCAGUCGGACUGCCCGAGAGGU
Molecule: long non-coding RNA, 18999 nt
Filed under: Ananas comosus (pineapple)
Lineage: Eukaryota; Viridiplantae; Streptophyta; Magnoliopsida; Poales; Bromeliaceae
Description: long non-coding RNA (ACOM_LNC009827)
Source: RNAcentral